Molecule: long non-coding RNA, 887 nt
Filed under: Coffea arabica (coffee)
Lineage: Eukaryota; Viridiplantae; Streptophyta; Magnoliopsida; Gentianales; Rubiaceae
Description: long non-coding RNA (CARA_LNC007587)
Source: RNAcentral
GGUAUUAUUUGGCUUUAUCUUUAAGGUUUUUAUUUUGUCUCUUCAGUUCCGAGACUACCUCACAUUCUUGUCUUAAUUUUCAGCCAAUGCUCCAAGAGCUAGGGAAGCAAAAUCCUCAUUUGAUGCGACUUAUUCAGGAGCAUCAGGCGGAUUUCCUUCGUCUGAUUAAUGAACCUAUUGAAGGAGGAGAAGGGUAUCUUUCAUGUUUCCUUUUCUUUUUUUUUUUUUUUAAAUUACUGCAAUGCCUUACCGAGCUUUCAUGGUGGCUAUUAGAAGGUCAAUGAAUACAUCUUCACGUGCUAAUCUUUCCUUACAAUCAGGAACAUACUUGGUCAGCUUGCUGGAGCAAUGCCACAAACUAUACAAGUGACAGCUGAAGAGCGCGAAGCUAUCAGACGUGUGAGUGUCCUUCAUUCCAAGUCUUAAAUUAGUUUGAAUGUUUUUGACAAAAUUAGAUUUCUGAAUCUGGUCAUAGACUUAAUUUGCUUACCAUCAGCUGAGAGGAACUUGAAUCCUAUCUCAGUGGUGUGAUGGGUUGUGCUAUUUUUGGAAAUUAAAAAGCCAAUCGUUUAUGGAAUUUGUAUACCAGAGUCAAGAUCUUGGUUGGUUCUAAACUUUCGAUUUGCAAUUGUGCCUUUGAUGAAUAGUUAAUUUGUAAUUCCCUCAGCUUUAAAACAUGUAAAAAUGCACCAGUGUUCCAUAGUAAGUGGUAGUAAUGUUGCCUUUAAAAUUUUGCUUUUCCAGCUGGAAGAAAUGGGGUUUGAUCGCGCAACUGUGCUGGAAGUGUUCUUUGCUUGCAACAAGAAUGAGGAGCUGGCUGCUAACUAUCUCUUAGAUCAUAUGCAUGAGUUUGAGGAGUGAAAUUGACUCUUAAGGCUGUAUUCUCU